This 427-nucleotide ribosomal RNA is filed under the name uncultured bacterium. RNAcentral's name for it is "bacterial SSU rRNA". It matches the Rfam family "Bacterial small subunit ribosomal RNA", at positions 28 to 453 of the family's 1533-position model. The record is from RNAcentral.
GAUGAACGCUGGCGGCGUGCUUAACACAUGCAAGUCGAACGGGAUCCAGGCAGCUUGCUGCCUGGUGAGAGUGGCGAACGGGUGAGUAAUGCGUGACCGACCUGCCCCAUACACCGGAAUAGCUCCUGGAAACGGGUGGUAAUGCCGGAUGCCCCGACUCCUCGCAUGGGGUGUCGGGAAAGAUUUCAUCGGUAUGGGAUGGGGUCGCGUCCUAUCAGGUAGUCGGCGGGGUAACGGCCCACCGAGCCUACGACGGGUAGCCGGCCUGAGAGGGCGACCGGCCACAUUGGGACUGAGAUACGGCCCAGACUCCUACGGGAGGCAGCAGUGGGGAAUAUUGCACAAUGGGCGCAAGCCUGAUGCAGCGACGCCGCGUGCGGGAUGACGGCCUUCGGGUUGUAAACCGCUUUUGAUCGGGAGCAAGCCU